Molecule: long non-coding RNA, 3075 nt
Organism: Aquila chrysaetos chrysaetos
Lineage: Eukaryota; Metazoa; Chordata; Aves; Accipitriformes; Accipitridae
Exons: 2
Source: RefSeq, a predicted model, not a curated record
GUCACGCUGUGGGUACAUCCUCGCCUUGCAGCGCUUGAAGGAAACGGUCCUGCUCCCGGAUCUCGUCACGGGCUGGCAGGGAGAAGUGAGGUUUGAAGGGAGCGAAUGCCACGUACCCUGUAGGCAGCGUGCCGUAUGGCCCACGGCUGAGUUUUCCAUCCCCGCCGUCGACCCCAGACUCUGUCCCUUGCUCUUGUUACUCCAGCCUUGGUUCUGCUCUUGACCGGCCCCACGUGGCCCCGCUGAUCCUCCUGCUCCCUCCUGUCUCAACCCUCACCACGCUCCUGCCUUUGGCUGGCUCCUCUGCUUCUGAGGGUUCCUCAUUUCUACCCAUCCUUCCUACCAAACCUGACUUUGAUCUUUGUGGUCUUCAUUUUAAAGCAGCCCAAGCCUGAGCUGACCACCCUUGGCCAAGUUACAACAGCACUCUUCUCGCACGCCUCGCCAGGAAGCCGAAACGUGGGUUUCAGUCAGUUCCCACGUAGAGAGCGGUGCCGUCGGGGAUGGCAUCGCUGUGCCAGCGAGCAUCGCUGGGCUGGUGGGCCUGGGCUCACGUGGGUCCCGUUAAAACUCUAGUGGCUGUGACUGAGGACGAGGGAGCAGGAGCCGCAGCUGGAGGACGGGGAAGAGGAGGAGCCAGGUUUCAGGGAUGGGCUGAGGAAGGAAGGAUUGUGCGGAGAAGCCAUCUGUAAAAAGAAAACAUUGGGAGUCAACAACUCAGCUGAAUUCCCCAUACUUGCUACUUUAGGUUGGCUUGGAAAUGAAUUUUUCAGCUAAAAUGGCCAAGUUAUGUAUAAAAGUGAGACAACCUUUUUCUCUUAAGAAGUUAUUUUGUCUAGAGAAGUCUCUUAAAACCUCGAUAAGUGGCAAGAUGGCACCAUUUCUGUGGCAGACUGCCCGGGGAGAUGUAAAAAAUUCUUCCACGCACCCGUAAUUCAUGCAUUGAACACAUCCAGUUUGAAGCAUCCCUCAGAGAACUUGCCCAUCCUAGCAACUCCCUGGUAAGUCAGCAAUAGCUUCCUCAUGGAAGUAAUUUUUCCUAGGCUGCCUGCAAACAGCCCGGCAGGGACCCGAGCCUCCCGGUGCCGCUCGCGGGUGCCUUGCUGAACGUAUCUGCCCUCCGAGAACACGCUAAGUGCCGUAGGGAAGUUUCCUCCAUCGUCAUCGCCUAGGGCUUCUCCCUCGUCUCACGCUGCUGGGGACAAAAAUCCCGGUGCUCGGGGUGUGAAGGAGAGCCCCGGCUAGGCGGGAGGCUGGAGUCAGGGUGCGCUGCAGAACAAGCCUGAUCUUCUCUUGCCUACGGAGAUUUCCAAUCCUGUGGCUAAAUCCUUCUCGAUACCUGCCUGCUGCAGAGGGGAGAAGUGCUUCUUCCUCACCUGCGCCGCCGGCUGCCGGGUAGGAUGCCUCUCGGCGUGGCCCGGGGAACGUGAGGGAUCUGUUUUUAGGAAAAUAUUUCAAGCGACACAUCAAGCAUUUAAAAUGCUGGCUGCGUGUCGCUCUGUCGGCUUCCCGACUGGGAGCGUGCGGGUGUGCGAUCCUUGCUGUAGGAUCACCCUCAGGCAGUCGGCUCCUGGGGCUGGCUUUGCUUUUCUUUAUUUUUUUUUUUUUCAAAAGGAAAAAAGGUUAAAAGGCUGCUGAAGUCCCAGCUGGCAACACUGCGAAGGAAGAUAAAGGAUGUCCAACCAAAUACAUAAGGGAAGGGAUACGGCAACCUUGAGUGCGUAGCCCUUGCAAGUAAUUAGGCGAACAGUUCCCUGGUGUAAAUGCAUUCGUGUGUGCUUGAGAGAGGCCUGGCUGCUGAGUUAAGCGGCACCCGGUGGUGCUGCCGUUUUGUUACGAUAGCUAGAAAGAAACAACAGUUUGCUUUUUUCCAGGCAGCAGACUCGGAGUGGGUUUCAGUUGGGCCUCGUUGAGUAACUUGGGUUCCCCCACCAGAAAGGUACAGUUUCAGGUUUAAAUCGAACGUGCAUGUGUGUACGCAGAGAAAAAGAUGAGAAGACUUACCUUCUGCUUUCAGAAGUAGUUCGUAUCGACUGCCUGUUCGUUUAUUUUGUCCUUUCCUACUCAUAAGCUGGUAUCUGUUAGGUUGUACUUAGCCGAAUGUUUUUAUUAUUAUUUUAGAAAGGCUUGUUUCAGGGUGUGAACUAGAGCGGAGAAGGAACUGCAACCCCGUCCCGUUUCCUCAUGGAAAUUAAUUCACAGAGCAGAAUGCCGAGUCGAGAUGCGCAGCACGAGGUGCUGCGUGGUGCCUGUCCGUACGGAACAGGGAAAUGCCACCGGGCAGGACAGCAAGAGGCAGGUUUUGCUCUCGAGUAUUUUUUUCAGAGGAGAUUUGAAACCCACCUGCUGGGGAUGGGUUAAGGCAUCCUGCUGGGAAGCAGCUCGUCCCGCACCGCUCCGUUUUGGGGGCACGAACCGCAGUGUUCAGGGUAUCCGCGCUGGGAUUCCCUAACUACAGGUGGUUUCUGUGAAAGCCCUGGCCUUUCAAAAGUUUCUUUUCCUACAGGAAGAGGUGGAUCUCUCUCUCUGCCCCCCUCCUCUUCUUGCUCUUUCCUUUCCCUUCUGUGGCAUUCAAUCUGAUAGCCAGCAAGAGGAAUAAUAAUUAAUAGGCUAUGUGUGUAUUGCCUAUAGUCAGAUUGUUAAAUGAGUGACCCGAUGACAUAAAAACUAAUGUCCGUGGUGCUGUUUCAGCAGCAUUAGUCGUUUCUCCUGGCAUUUUAACUUCCCAGGGCCCCACAGCUGUCGAGUGGGUAUUUUCUGUAAAACAGGCAGCAUUUGAAACGUUCCUAACCCCGGGUAAAGGUUCCCUCCAGCCUCUGUACAACAUGACUUCAGCCCUGUACUAUGCAGGACUGAAUCCGCUCUGAUGACCCAUGUGGCAGAGAGCUUCUGUAAUCUAUACCAUGAGGUCACAUUUCAAUACCGGGAGCAACCGAGACUGAAGUCAUGAUUUAAACCACUGGAGUAAAUAUAGUUUUUACAUUAGCGCAUUGCAGACCUAACUUGGGGGAUUAUGUCACAGGAUAUUUUUUUCUGAAUUGUCUCAAAUAAAAUCUUAAGGCCUUCUGGUUAUUA